This 253-nucleotide ribosomal RNA is filed under the name uncultured bacterium. RNAcentral describes it as "partial 16S ribosomal RNA". It matches the Rfam family "Bacterial small subunit ribosomal RNA", at positions 524 to 776 of the family's 1533-position model. The record is from RNAcentral.
UACGAAGGGGGCUAGCGUUGUUCGGAAUUACUGGGCGUAAAGGGCGCGUAGGCGGUCUUGUAAGUCAGGCGUGAAAGGCCCGGGCUCAACCUGGGGACUGCGCUUGAUACUGCGAGGCUUGAAUCCGGGAGAGGAUGGCGGAAUUCCCAGUGUAGAGGUGAAAUUCGUAGAUAUUGGGAAGAACACCGGUGGCGAAGGCGGCCAUCUGGACCGGGAUUGACGCUGAGGCGCGAAAGCGUGGGGAGCAAACAGG